UACCGGCAGCCCAAGUGAUGGCCGAUCUUAUUGGGCCUAAAGCGUCCGUAGCUGGCCGCGCAAGUCCAUCGGGAAAUCCACCUGCUCAACAGGUGGACGUCCGGUGGAAACUGCACGGCUUGGGACCGGAAGGCGCGACGGGUACGUCCGGGGUAGGAGUGAAAUCCCGUAAUCCUGGACGGACCGCCGAUGGCGAAAGCACGUCGCGAAAACGGAUCCGACAGUGAGGGACGAAAGCUAGGGUCUCGAACCGG
This 254-nucleotide ribosomal RNA is filed under the name uncultured archaeon. Its description in RNAcentral is "partial 16S ribosomal RNA". It matches the Rfam family "Archaeal small subunit ribosomal RNA", at positions 474 to 727 of the family's 1478-position model. The record is from RNAcentral.